UGGAUAAAAAGAUGUGCGGUUAGGAUGAUACUGGUCCCCGGAUAAAUUGAUAGUGGUCUGUAGUGUCCCGGGAGGGUAUGGUAUUUGGAUUGGCUAUAGUAUUAGUGAUUGGUCGACACAUCUGGAGGUAUCGGACUGAGUCGGAGUCAUUUUUGUACGAAAUAGAUGCAGAAAUGGACUUGGCGCACUCAAAUAAGCAAAACUGAAGUUUUGCCAGUUUCGGGCACCCAGAAGUUGGUUUGGGUCGCUCAGAUCUUGAAUGCUGAAUUUUAUUGGAACUGGAAGCCAAUUCGGACCCUGUGUUCCGGGCGCCUAGAAGUGGGUCCGAAUGGUCUCUUUAGGAAAAUCAACUGUAGUGUAUGGUGGUAGGUGAGUUCCGUCGGACCAGGUUUCGGGUGCAGCAGACCGCAGGCAGAAGAACCGAAGAGGGAGUGUUGUAUGGUCUGGAGGAUUCGGACGCCCAGAACAUGGUUUCGGGCGCCCGAAAGUACUCGUUCCUGCAGGACAACAGAGAAGCCUCGAAUUUGCAUUUUAGCCUCCUAAAUUCUCCAAAUUACACAAUUCCACCUUGAGGAUUUCAGUUCCAGCAGAAUUCCAGCAGCGAUCUUCGGUGUUUUGGCUUGUGUGCGACGCAGGAAGAUCGGAUUGCUGCGAAACUUGGUUUGGUGGUUAGCUAACUUCUUGGAGAUUUCGUGGAGCCUAUUUUGACAGCAUUUGUUUGAGGAAGCUGAAUUUCGGACCAGAGGAGGUUGCUCCAUCAUACUCCACUGCUGUUGGGACUUUUUUUCACCUGAAUUAUGGAUUGGAAUACCCUUAGAGAAGAUUGUUACUGGUUCGUGGCUGAGCUUGGCAGGGCUUUCCAGCGACUUCUCGUCGUCGUGGAUUAAGCGCUAGUGGUGGGUUAAUGAUAUGCUUACUGAAUUCUACG
Molecule: long non-coding RNA, 928 nt
Organism: Ananas comosus (pineapple)
Lineage: Eukaryota; Viridiplantae; Streptophyta; Magnoliopsida; Poales; Bromeliaceae
Exons: 4
Source: RefSeq, a predicted model, not a curated record